GGAACUACUAAUAACAUAGCAAUGCCUGGUACGAUCAUCGCUAGAGCCCAUAAGCCCCAGUCUAAAUGAAUACCUAACAUUUUAGCCAUGAAGUCUCCUGCUAAUGCAUUUGGAGCCAUUGCUGUUAAGAACAUCAAGGAUGUUACUUUUGUUACCAUGUAUGUAUUUGCCAUUAAGAAACGACCAGCUUUGUUAGCCGUUUCACCUGGUUCAGAACCAAGAGAUUUUGCCACUGCAU
This 238-nucleotide antisense RNA is filed under the name human gut metagenome. RNAcentral's name for it is "Yersinia sRNA 283". It matches the Rfam family "Yersinia sRNA 283". Rfam says of the family: Identified in transcriptional profiling by RNA seq. The record is from RNAcentral.